GAACGUCACUUCGGGCAUGUUCGGUAGUCCUAAAAAUUCCUGUUUCAGGAAUUUUGUCCUGGCUAACGUACUAAAUCUGUCAACGUCGCAUACUUUUCAAUCUUGUUUUGUUUUGGAAUUUGACAAGAUUAACCUCAGAAAAAGUUUAAAAUUAUAAUUUUUAUGAACAUUGACGAAUAAUGUUAUGAAUAAUGUAAUAGAACCUGAUAUAAAAUAAUCCGGAAAUAUUUACAAAUAAAGCAUAAACAAAAUGAAAGUGAUAGCAACACGAUUACCUUUGAUAAUGUGUUUUUUAUAUAAGAAUACGUCUACAUGGGUUGAAAUCUCAGAAAAUAUUAAGCUAUCCACAAAUUCCUGAAAAUAAAUUAGCCGUGAUUUGCGGAAAAAAUGUUCUUAAUUAUUUUUCCCACAUGAUGUCCUUUCAGGUUCCAGGAAACAGCACGGGCAUGUAUUAGGCAUAAUAAGUAAUUAUAAAAAUAUGAGCAAAAAUGAGAUGGUUUAAAAGAGUGAAAAUUUUAAGGUUAAGAAAUCUGAAACUCAAAGGAAAACUGAUUAAAAACUGAUAAAUAAGUACCGUUAAACUGGAAAAGCAAACUACUAUACGCAUAAUACAAAAGACAAUUUAUCAUCUUUAAAACCAUAAGGCAUAUGAUAUAUGAGAUAGCACAAGGACAUAUCGGCAAGCCUUAGGUUGGUGUUUACGCGUGUAGGUGUGAAUCGCUAUGGUGAUCUGGUCGGAGAUAGAAAAAUAUAAAAUAUUUAUUACAUAACCACACUUAAUCUGAUGAUUUCCUAUGCAUUCAAUACCAAGUUCAAUACAUCUGAUUGUAAUAAGCAUAUUGGCCAUACUCUUCAUAUACAU
Molecule: long non-coding RNA, 862 nt
Filed under: Sitophilus oryzae (rice weevil)
Lineage: Eukaryota; Metazoa; Arthropoda; Insecta; Coleoptera; Curculionidae
Description: uncharacterized LOC115875807, transcript variant X2
Source: RNAcentral